UACUCUAUUACGUUUUGUACAAAUAAUAAAACAGAGAAUCUCAAGCAGUAACAAUUAAAUAAAUAAUAAAUUGAAUUGCACCUAUUAAAAAUCACUCGUUUAAUGUACUAAAUGCAACAAAUUGGCGACGAGGAUGAAACAAAGCAUGUGUUACCUUUCAGGCUUUUGGAGUCACAGCAACAAUUUUUUGACCGUUUUAUUGCAGAGAAUGUAAUAUUCGACAUGAAUACACAGCAUUUAAAGCCUACGAUGUUACGGACAGUGAACAGACAGUGAAGCGCUCAAUUUUUUAUUUCUUGGAUGGGAAAUGAGCUAUUUGAGUUGAUUGGAAAACUGUUUGGAAAUAAAAAGAUUGAUACAAAAACCUUUGAGGAGAUUAUUCAAAAGCAAACGCAAUAUAAAUUUCAUAAUCGCAUGAUGAAUGAAGGUGUGUCCUAUGCGAAUUGGAUUGUCGAACUUCGUGGGUUAUCGCGCAACUGUGCAUUUAAUUGUAAAAAUGCAGACUGCAACACAGACUUUGUUGAUUAAAUGAUUCGAGACACUAUAAUUUUAUAUACUCCUCAUGAAACUGUUAGAACCGCAGCACUGCAAAAGCAAAAUCCAACGUUGGGCGAGGUGGUGUCUUCUUAUCCGAAACAUAAAAAUCUCUGUCAACUUUAAAAGGUAAUUCCACAAAAAUUAAUUUAAUCAAGCAUUAUAAAAAUAAUCAAGGAAAAAGCAAUACAACAACUACGGAUCUCAUCAAAAGCAGCAGGAGCUUCCUGCUCUAUGAUAGAUUUGAAUUUGUAUCAUUUGUUAAUAAACUAAACUCCAAAAAUCCAACACAAUUCUAAAAGCUUAGGGAAAUAAACAAAUUCCGGUACUGGGUAUACUGUACGUUAAUGUAACAUUAGAUUCUCAAACAAAAGAUCUCAAAUUAUUAGUUGCAAAUACUUUUGAGGGUGGAAACAUUUUUGGAAUGGAUUGAUGCGACGCUUUUCAGUGUUUAGAUGGAAAUGUGUUUAAAAUAAAUGAAAUUCAAACAAUGAAUUAUAAAGAAUCAGGAAAUUAACGCACUAUGUGAGAAGUAUUCCAUUUUGUUUUCGGACAGUUUAGGCUGCUGUAAUAUUUUUGAAGGGCACAUCUAUUUAAAAGAUAACUCAAUCCCCAAGUUUUUUUAAAAGCAGACCUGUUUCAUUUGUAUUACAAGAACCUUUUCAAAUAGAAGCUAAAAGAUUAGAAAAACUAGGUAUAUGGAAACCUAUCACCUAUAGUUCGUAGGCCUCUCCUAUUGUGAUAGCACAGAAACCUAAUAAUAAAAUUAGAUUCUGCGCCGAUUUUAAGCAAACGGUAAAUACACAAAUUGAUAUGGAACAAUAUCCAAUUCCCAAAUUCCAAAAUCUUAUAUACAAAUUGCCAGGUGGUGUCACGUUUUCUAAAAUAGAUUUGGCAGAUACCUAUUUCCAAAUACCAAUGGACAAAGAGUCAAAGAAGUUACUUAUGGUAAACACGCCUUAAGACUUAUUUCAAUACCAAAGGUUACCAUUUGGCGUGUCUAGCGCACCAGCCAUAUUUCAAAGAUUUUUGAAACAACUUAUUGCGAAUAUUCUUGGGAGUGUAAAUUAUUUGGAUGAUAUUGUAGUCACCGGGCGGACAAAUGAUGAAUUAAAUAAUGCAAAUCUGAGAUGCAAUUUGUCAAAUAUUAUAAAUAAAAAUGGUAUAGAAACAUCUAUUACAGGCAUUAAAGCUAUUCAAAAACUACCAAGACCCAAAAAUUUAAAAGAUGUUGAAGCUUUUCUAGGAAAUGUAACUUAUUAUAUGAAAUUUAUAAACAAAUUUUUCAACGGUAGCAGAACCAUUAAAUGAGCUGCGGCGUAAUAACGUAAAAUUUGUGUGGGAAAACCGCCACGAACAAUAUUUUAAUCAACUGAAGCAGCAAUUAGUAGACGUAACGACGUAGUCACAUUUUAAUGAGAAUCUUCCACUAAUUCUAGCUACAGAUGUAUCUUCGUUCGGCAUUGGUGCGGUUAUCGCCCACAUCUACCCAGAUGGGUCGGAAAGGCCAAUAGCCCAUGCAUCUAAAACUCUUACAACACACCAGAAAAAUUACAGCCAAAUUUAGAAAGAGGCUUUAGCAAUUGGGUAUGGCAUUAAAAAUUUCAUGAUUAUUUGUAUGGCAAAAAAUUCAAGCUAAUAACAGAACAUAAGCCUUUUGUAACAAUUUUCAGCCCUAGUAAAGGUAUCCUCAUUCACUCCGCUCACAGUUUGCAAAGGUGGGCUUUAUUUCUUUCUAAUUACAAAUAUAUGAGAUACAAUAUGAAGCCACAAAUUUGCAUUCAAAUGCCGAUGACUUAUUAAGAUUGCCUUGUACCGAUGAUAAGAUAAACGAUUUGAUGAAGAAUUGAAAUCAUUAGAAGUAAAAUUUGUAGAAGAAGUAUCGUCCUUCCCAAUAAAUGCUGAAAAAAUAAAAGAAUGUACUAUGAAAGAUAAAACGUUAGUCAAUGUAUUGCAAUAGAUAACGAACGGGUGGCCAAAUAAAAUAAAUAAUGAAAUCAAACCUUAUUUCGCCGGACGUCAAAAUUUAACAACUCUUGAAGGAAUAAUUGUUCUCCAAAUAGAGUACAACAGAGUUGUUAUCCCCCAUUGUUUUCGCGAACAAAACAAAUAUCAAGGCGAUAUUGUUGGUGGCCAAAUAUAAAGAAUUAAUAGUCAAUUGCGAAGCUUGUUCAAUGGAGUCCUCAAUGCCAACAAAAGUUUAUAGCUCAUGGAGAGAAACAUAUAAACCGUGACAACACAUUCACAUCGAUUUUGCCGGACCAUUUUUUAACUCAUACUGGUUUAUUUGUGUCGAUGCAUUUUCAGAUUUCCCCUACGCCGUAAAAGUUAAUUCCACAACAACAACAGCAAGAGUAAAGGUAUUAAUUGUCCUCAAUUUACGGCGGAAGAAUUCAGAAAAUUUUGUAGAACAAAUAAAAUUCAACAUUUAACCACAGCCCCGUUCCACCUUUCUUCAAACGACCAGCAGAGCGUUUCGUAAGAACUUUUAAGACUUCUUAAAAAAAAAAACAAAUUCAUUCAGGUAGAGAUGUAGAAAAUGCAGUAUUAACAUAUUUAUCUACUUAUAGAGCAACUCCUAUUAAAAAUGAAAGGUCGAGUUUGAUGUUACACGGAAGGCAACCAAAAACAAUGUUAAGUUGUUUUUUUAUCAAAUACAUCCAGUAUAUCUAAAACACAAACAAACAGUCAUCAUUAAAAAAUUUGUUAUUGUCGAGACUGUCAUUUUUCGUAAUUUUUCUAAAGGUAAGCGCAGGAUUAAGGCCUCAGUUCUUAAAAAACUUGGAAACAUGCUUUAUAUACUAAAACAUGGAAACUAUACAUGUAAAAGACAUCAAAAUCAAAUUCGCAAGUGUUCACCAGAACUGUCUUAUAAUAAUUCGAACGGUUGUAAAUUUAAUGAAGAACAACAUCUAUUAACAUCAGCAUGUCGAAAUCUUAUAAUGAAUCAUUUUUUACUUCAUUAAGUUCCAACUCAAUUCAAUACCCACCAAUAGAUUCGACUUCCAGCAACGAGUCCAACCUAAGAUCAAAAACCUAUAACCAACAAUCAUCAUCAAAAGCUUCUACUACUUCUGUUCGCCGUUCUCAAAGAAAAGGAAAUAAGUGUGGAGGAAUUGAUGUGUUUUAUAAAUUUAUUUAUAUAUUAAAUUUUGUUAAGUGUAAAAUGAAUUAAUUUUAUGCAGUUUACAUCACUGCAAAUAAGUUAUAAAAGAAAUGGUAACUCUAUUACCAUUGUACAAAUAAUAAAACAGAUGUAGUUGAGAAUCUAAGCAGUAACAAUUAAAUAAAUAAUAAAUUGAAUUACACCUAUUAAAAAUCACUCGUUUAAUUAAUGUACUAAAUGCAACACUUGGAAUGAUAGGGUGUCCCGUGAACCACUUUUUAGGAGGAAUACCUAGAAAACGAUGCGUUUCAAUGAACUAAAUACGG
RNAcentral lists this long non-coding RNA (3966 nucleotides) under Lucilia cuprina (Australian sheep blowfly). Its description in RNAcentral is "uncharacterized LOC124418643". The record is from RNAcentral. Lineage: Eukaryota; Metazoa; Arthropoda; Insecta; Diptera; Calliphoridae.